GAUGAAGAACGCAGCGAAAUGCGAUAAGUAAUGUGAAUUGCAGAAUUCAGUGAACCAUCGAAUCUUUGAACGCACAUUGCGCCCGGCAGUAAUCUGCCGGGCAUGCCUGUCCGAGCGUCAUUUCUGCCCUCGAGCGAGUCCAGCAUCUAGGUGCUGGGCCCGCCCGGCGUUGGGGCACUACGGGAAGCCCUGUGCUGUCCCCCGUAGGCCCCGAAAUGAAGUGGCGGUCCUGCCGCGGCGCCCCCUGCGUAGUAUAACAGCUCGCUUCGGGACCCGGUGGAGGCCUGCCGUCAAACCUUACUCUCUAAGUUUGACCUUGGAUCAGGUAGGGUUACCCGCUGAACUUAAGCAUAUCAAUAAGCGGAGGA
RNAcentral lists this unclassified non-coding RNA (368 nucleotides) under soil metagenome. RNAcentral describes it as "partial contains 5.8S ribosomal RNA, internal transcribed spacer 2, and large subunit ribosomal RNA". The stretch from base 1 to 120 matches the Rfam family "5.8S ribosomal RNA", at positions 35 to 154 of the family's 154-position model. The record is from RNAcentral.